Molecule: non-coding RNA, 22 nt
Filed under: Arabidopsis thaliana (thale cress)
Lineage: Eukaryota; Viridiplantae; Streptophyta; Magnoliopsida; Brassicales; Brassicaceae
Source: RNAcentral
GAGGGCAUGAUGUGUGUGGUUC